GGGGCGUCAGCCCACGUGCUGGGGGGGGGGGCAGGGAAACAAUGAGGCCUUUGGUAAUUGUGCAGGAUCCACCCCCAGCUUCCCAGCGUGUCCCCUCUGCGGGCUGGAUCCCGGUGGUGGCUUGGGGGCGGGGCCGGGGGCCCUGAAUGGGCCCCUUGUCUCAGCGCUGGGUGUGGGCCAGGCUCCCCGGGCACACGGUGCCCUCGCCAGGCCUGGCUGGCCUCUGUGGCUUCCACCCCCAGCUGGCUGAGGACGGGCCCUGUGGGUGAGCAGGCCCCUCCCUGAGAGCCUGGGCUGGGCUCCCAUCCCAGGCUGCAGAGACAGGUAGAGAGAAGGACCCCAUCUAGUGGGGAAGGGGGAGAAGCAGCAGCCAACUGUCUCAGAGCACCCUGACCCCAGACUAAAGGGGACCUGUGGAGGGAGAGUGGGACACUGGAGGCCGACCCAGGUUGGACUUCCCACCCUUUGGCUCCCUGCAUUUAUGACCUUGGGCAGGUUCUUUGUUUUUUUCUGAAUCUCAGCUUCCCUACGGGUAAAAUGGCUCUGACAGUAAUACCUACCGGAAGGGUUGCUGUGAUGAUUGCAUGACAUCAUACCUGGGAAAUGCCCAGUGAGUAUCAGGUGCUCAAUAAAUGUUAGCUUCCCUUCCCUGGACCUGGGGGAAGGAGAACUGAGGGCUCCGGGAUUGGUUCCGGGGUUCCUGGAAGGGCCUUGGGGGGUGGGGUCAGGGGUAGGUAGGCUCUCACAAUGGGCUAGAACUCUGCCUUCCUCUGAGUUCUCAUCCACUUUGACUCCUCUCCCUGUCUCAGGGAGGGGAGGAAAGGCUUAGGAUGAGUUGUCGGUGAAAGUUUUCCCUCUAGAUUCUCCAUUUCUUUCUUCUUGGCUGCACUUGAAGCUUCCAAGAGACCCCUUAGGUGGUGGCCACUGGUCUGCAGCCUGGUCCCCUCCACCCUUUGUACCAAAUGCUUGUCCUGCCCCCUACUUGGUGCUUGUGUAUUGGGAGAAAUGGCGGUGGUUAUGAGGUUCUUCCGAUGGAUUUGGCGAAAGAUUACUUGCUGGGUUUUCUUCUGGAAACAAAAAGCUAAGUCAACCUUCUUGGAACACCAUGAUUCCCAGAAAAGUGUAUUGAAGGUGGAGAAGACUCCCAAGGUGGUUGAGACUUUCAAGUUGGUUGAGCCCUGCAAAGAGGCUAAGAUUUCCAAGAUGGUGGAGUCCCCCGAGGUGGCUGAUGCCUGCGAGUUGGCCAAAGCAACAGAUAGGGCUAAGGUGGAGCCGGGUCAUAGGGCCCGAUCCCUGCUGCAGCUGCCCCGGACAGCUGUCAAGUCUGUCUCCAUGCUCAUGGUCUCGGCCCUGCAGAGCGGCUGGCAAAUGUGCAGCUGGAAGUCAUCUGUGAGUUCUACCUCCAUUUCCUCCCAAAUGAGGUCUGGGUCCCCAGUGGAUACGUCGGAAGCUGAGAUGCUGCGGGAAGUGUACCUGAUACUGUGGGUCAUUCGGAGACAACUGCGACAGCUGGCCCGCAGGCAGGAGAGGCCGAGGCGGCGCCACAUCCGGGCCCACACUGGCUCCCAGCCUGACACGGCUCAGGGCCUGAAACAGGAUGCCCGGAGUCCCCUUUAGGGGGGAACCCCACAUCCUCAAAAAGCCCCACCUCAGUCUUAGGAGCGGCAAGACUGAGAUUAACUGAAGGAGAAGAUUGUACAUCCCAGGGCUGAAAAUGCUGUCUGCCCCUUGCUGGAGCUGCCUAUCUGUCCCGUGGGGUCAUUCUGGGGUGCUGGGAAUGGCCUAAGGCAGACGCAUCUGCCAUCCUACACCGAAUUUGGCUUUCUACAGGACCAUGGAGGUCUUCAUAGAGCCUGGCCCAAGGGAUCUACGCUCUUCUGAUGGAUAGUGCCCUGUGACAUGACCUGAUGCUGCUCCUCAGGGGGACCUGUACCUGUUAACAAGUACAUGCUUACAUGUGUGUGUGUUGGGGGUCACCUCAUCGGCCAAAGCAUAACUACCCCUUGCAGGUGAGAGUGUCUUGUAAGCAAGAUGAGAUUUUCCUGGUGGGAUUUCUGGGGAGUACAGGACAAGUGGAUGAGCCCUAUGAACCAGGCAUGUUGAGCCUCCAAGCUGAUAUUAUAAGGGCUAUGAAGAGGACUCCCCCCCACCCUCCCAGAACCACACUGGGCACCCUGCAGAUUUGAGAGUGGGCAGAGAAGAUCUGGAGAGGAUGGAUAUGGUCUCAGGAACAUCCAGCUCACUGCAUGGGUGCCUCCAGCGCCAAGUGGGGCAGAGAUGAUGCUGGGAGUGGAGUGAUAGAAGCUGGCCUAGGAUCUAGAGAAGAGGAAGAGAAGGAUAUGGAGGACCAGUCUCUUGGAAGUGGAGGAGGGGAGAGAUAUCUAGGCUGCAUUGGGUAAGGGGAACACCCUGAGCUGGGACCACUGGCCUGAAGGUAGAGAAGGAAGAGGAGAUUUUGAUCAGAUUGGGGAACCCUGGUCUUGGUGCCCAAUGUCCCAGCUUAGCUUCGGGCCAUGGUGGGGCUCUCUUGGAGUGAUGGCUUCCCAUUCCAGGGCUUCUCCUGUUCCUCCAUUUGACCUGUGCCCUGUGUUACCUCAGUUCCUUGCUCACUGGAUGACUCCCAAAGCAUGGAGCUUGCUCCUGGCAGGAGAUCUGACCUGCUCCACCGCUCCAGCUCUCACUGCACCCACUUUAUGCUUCUAGGGUUUUCUCUUUUGCCAAGAAGCAGUUGAUCUCCAGCAUCCAUCCUCAGACCUGCCACUUUUAAGUUGCAUCAGGAUACUCGCUGCUUCCUGCGGCGCCUGGUAGGCCUGGCUGGUUGGACACAUCUAUCCAGUCAUCCUGAAUUGCCACUCCUGGCUGGGGGCUGGCUGGGGAGACUGCCAUGGCUGGUGGGGAGGGGAGAUGCUAGAGUCCUGGGGAGAAGUGAGAGUCUUGGGAAGGAGAGAGGAAGGCGCUGGUUGCAGGAGAUGCCAAGGGGAGGGGACCAGCCCCUGGGUGGUGGCAAAAGACUGAACUCUGUGUGUGUGUGUGGUGUUUGGGGGAGGGGAUGUACUGCCUGGAACAGAAGCUGCUCAGAGAUCAACUAAUAUAGUACCUCCACCUUUAAUAAUGAGAAGACUAAGGCCUAAAGAGGAAAGAGAUGGUGUUGCUGGAGGGGGUGGGGGCGGGGGGGAGUCCUUUGGCUUCUGGACCCAGGCCCAGUCCUCUCUGGGAUGUGAGUCCCUCCUAUUCCUCUCUCUGUCCCUAAGCGUGGACUAUGGACCUGGGGCAGCAGAUGCGAUAUCUGUGCCCACAGGCACAUCUUUGGCGACAGCAGUGUGGAAGGCCUCUUUCUCUGCCAAGUUCACUUCCUGCUGGACUACCUGGUUCCUGCUUGUGGCCCUUCCAUCCCUCUAGCCUAGAACCAACCCAAUUCCAGAUCUUUGCUCAGCUCAUUGGUGCCAGAGCAACACGCCUUUCUUCAGCCUAGGAUGCAGAUAGGAAAUGUGCUGGGCAUUUGGGGAUUUUCUUGGGUUAAGGACUGACACAGUGCAUGGCAGAGAGGAGCUUGUCAGGGGUGGGGUGGGGGCUGGGUCCUAAUUCCUAGGGCUCUGCUAGCAGCCCAGGUUUUGGUCUCCUAAAACUCAGUAUCUAAGGCCUCAGUUUCUUGAGCACGCUUCCUGGUUGCCAUGGUUGCCUGAUGCUUUGGACAUGAUCAGUGACCAGCUGUGUGGCCACUCCCUGGACCUUGAGAUGUUGGAGGCCGUUGGAUGGGCAUUGCUGGACAGAGACCCUCACCAUUAACUUCUUCACACAAGACUUCCCCUAAUGGUCCCUCCCUCUGUGCUGAUAUGGCCCCCAUCCCUUUCCCUACAUGGAGGGACCCCAGUGAGUCAUUCCUCUAUAAUGCCAACACCAGGCUUCCCUCCCCAGUGCCUCCAAUGCACCACCUGUCUAUCUCCCGCGUCCCACUCUUUCUCCUCCUGUCUUUACCUGUUUCCCUUGGUAACUCUCUGGAGCCUGGGGAAGCCUUCUCAGGACAAGAUGGUCCUUCAUGACCAGAUCCUUCUCACCAAGGGGCCUCCAGUCUCAGCCCCCCAAGGGAUGGGGAUGCUGCCAAGGCUGAUAGCAGACAGCCCAAUGUGGGGCCGAACUCAUGAACCGGGAGAUCAUGACCUGAGACGAAGUUGGUCACUUAACCAACUGAGCCCCCCAGGUACCUCCAUAAUUUAACUAUUUACCUGGUGAAGGACAUUUAGGUUGUUUCAAGUUCUUGGCUAUUAUGAAUAAAGCUGCUAUAACCAUG
Molecule: RNA transcript, 4288 nt
Organism: Lynx canadensis (Canada lynx)
Lineage: Eukaryota; Metazoa; Chordata; Mammalia; Carnivora; Felidae
Gene: SPACDR
Gene name: chromosome E3 C7orf61 homolog
Exons: 6
Source: RefSeq, a predicted model, not a curated record